RNAcentral lists this transfer RNA (73 nucleotides) under Toxocara canis (dog roundworm). It matches the Rfam family "tRNA". Rfam says of the family: Transfer RNA (tRNA) molecules are approximately 80 nucleotides in length. Their secondary structure includes four short double-helical elements and three loops (D, anti-codon, and T loops). Further hydrogen bonds mediate the characteristic L-shaped molecular structure. tRNAs have two regions of fundamental functional importance: the anti-codon, which is responsible for specific mRNA codon recognition, and the 3' end, to which the tRNAs corresponding amino acid is attached (by aminoacyl-tRNA synthetases). tRNAs cope with the degeneracy of the genetic code in two manners: having more than one tRNA (with a specific anti-codon) for a particular amino acid; and 'wobble' base-pairing, i.e. permitting non-standard base-pairing at the 3rd anti-codon position. Lineage: Eukaryota; Metazoa; Nematoda; Chromadorea; Rhabditida; Toxocaridae. The record is from Rfam by way of RNAcentral.
AGCCGCGUGGCGCAAUGGACAAAGCGUCGGUCUUCGGAACCGGAGAUGGAAGGUUCGAGUCCAGCCGCGGUCG